Molecule: long non-coding RNA, 910 nt
Organism: Camarhynchus parvulus
Lineage: Eukaryota; Metazoa; Chordata; Aves; Passeriformes; Thraupidae
Exons: 4
Source: RefSeq, a predicted model, not a curated record
GGCCCUAGUUGGGAAAGCUGGCACCAGUCCCAAAGCUAUCCUAGCUCUCUCCUGAGGCUGCUGUGGGUGACCUACUGGUUGGGCUGACAGCCAGGAUAAGUGACAGGGAACACCACCAGGUGAUGGCCAGAGAAGCUUGGACUUGCUCCUGCUUCCCAGACCUGCUGCUCCAUCUGCUCCAGCAGUUUCCAAGCACUGCCAGUGCCACGUUGGUUUUCACAGCUGCCUUGGUGCACGGCCAUAUCAGAAAGAACCUGCCUCACAAGCACUUCACAGGAACAAGGGCAAGAGUUGAGUUCAUACCUUGCAUCGAGGGAAUCGCCAGAAAGAAAAGGAGUGAUUCCAGGAAGGAGCUGCUCAGGGUGGAAUCUGCAGCAAAAACCUUCUUCAGCGUCAAACUUACCAUGUAAGAGAAGAAGACAACCUGAUCCAAGGCUCACUUCUGAGCAAGGAACAAACUGAGCAAUGAGACUUGGUCGGGGGUAGGUUUUCUUAAUAUUGUUUUGUGCUCAGUACUUGGAAACCUUGCUUUUAGCUUCCUUGAAGUUACCUGGAGUUUAGAUGUACUCAGAAUCAUGCAAAAGUAGGUUCUAAUUAACUGAUCCAAAGGCAGGACAUCGAAUGACUGGGAUGGGCUUUGUGUUCCCACUGACUGAGGGAUAAAUACUGUGAUUGCACAUGCACAUUCCUACCCUGCCCUCAACCUGUGAUGAUAAGCUCCACGUGAUCCCAAGCUUUAAUGCCAAUGAAAAGCACUAAAGCUGACAGCGGCAUAUGGCCACUCCCAGAUCUUCAGUCUACUUCAUGACUGGCUGGGGAUUUCUCUUUAGGCAAAAAAUAAUGGCAGCUAUGAUUGUUGUGGAAAGAAGAAGCUGGUAAAAUAAAUAAAGGGAGAGAAAAAAUGGGGCUU